CCCUUAGAUGUUCUGGGCCGCACGCGCGCUACACUGAUGCAUUCAAAGAGCCUAUCCUUGACCGACAGGUCCGGGUAAUCUUUGAAUCUGCAUCGUGACGGGGAUAGAUUAUUGCAAUUAUUAAUCUUCAACGAGGAAUGCCUAGUAGGCGCAAGUCAUCAGCUUGCGUCGAUUACGUCCCUGCCCUUUGUACACACCGCCCGUCGCUCCUACCGAUUGGGUGUGCUGGUGAAAUGUUCGGAUCGGCCGUUUGUCGCGGUUUCCGCGUCAUGUGGCUGAGAAGUUCAUUAAACCCUCCCACCUAGAGGAAGGAGAAGUCGUAACA
RNAcentral lists this ribosomal RNA (325 nucleotides) under uncultured eukaryote. Its description in RNAcentral is "partial 18S ribosomal RNA". It matches the Rfam family "Eukaryotic small subunit ribosomal RNA", at positions 1470 to 1796 of the family's 1831-position model. The record is from RNAcentral.